This 497-nucleotide ribosomal RNA is filed under the name uncultured bacterium. Its description in RNAcentral is "partial 16S ribosomal RNA". It matches the Rfam family "Bacterial small subunit ribosomal RNA", at positions 28 to 507 of the family's 1533-position model. The record is from RNAcentral.
GACGAACGCUGGCGGCGUGCCUAAUACAUGCAAGUAGAACGCUGAAGCGAGGAGCUUGCUCUUCUUGGAUGAGUUGCGAACGGGUGAGUAACGCGUAGGUAACCUGCCUUGUAGCGGGGGAUAACUAUUGGAAACGAUAGCUAAUACCGCAUAACAAUGGAUGACACAUGUCAUUUAUUUGAAAGGGGCAAUUGCUCCACUACAAGAUGGACCUGCGUUGUAUUAGCUAGUAGGUGAGGUAAUGGCUCACCUAGGCGACGAUACAUAGCCGACCUGAGAGGGUGAUCGGCCACACUGGGACUGAGACACGGCCCAGACUCCUACGGGAGGCAGCAGUAGGGAAUCUUCGGCAAUGGGGGCAACCCUGACCGAGCAACGCCGCGUGAGUGAAGAAGGUUUUCGGAUCGUAAAGCUCUGUUGUAAGUCAAGAACGGGUGUGAGAGUGGAAAGUUCACACUGUGACGGUAGCUUAACAGAAAGGGACGGCUAACUACGUG